AGACACCAUUUUGUAUGCAUUCUGAGGCAUAAUUCACGGCACCGCAGCCCCAAAGAUGAUUCAGUGCUUCUGGGAAAUAAAUGGCAGUGUUUAAAAAACUGUUUCUGACUUGUUGAGAAAUAAAUCCAAGCCCUGAAAUUCCUUUGCGUCAUACUGCACAAAAGGAGCCAUUAUAUUAAUAGUAUGACUGCAGGUCCAGGUGAAAGGAGUAAAAAGAAAGACAGAUUGUUGGAAGAAAGGUCUGUCUAACAUGUACACAUGCUGAGUCCCACGCCUACCGGCACAGGGGGAGGUGACAAGGAAAGAGCACAUACUUUUCAAGGCAGGCAGAAAAUUGGGAAAAGUGAUCUGUGUGAAGCAAGCAAGAACAAGGGAGAAUGAGGGAAGAGAAGGAAAGAACUGAAAAAGUGCAAAAAGAAAGGAGGGAAGGAAGACUGCCAUCUUCAGGGGAAAAGGGAUCUGAGAUGAAAACUGCUCAUGUAAAGUAGCCUCUCCCAGAAGCUGCCCCAUUUUUCUACAGCAACAUGACCAGUAUUGACUGCUUUCUAGGAUUCCUCCACCUUUAUAGCUUAUCUCUGUCCCUGCUGUAUCGUGUUCAAACUGUACAGACCCAGCUCAAUCCAAUUCCUGGCCAGUUUAAUGAUGAGCUUCAAAAUUAAGCUUACUUUUCUGAGAUGAUCUGAGAAUAGCAUUUAAGGCUAAUUGAGAAUUUUUUUUACACAUCGUUUAAAGAUAUUGAUUCUUUAACAAAUAAAAAAGGCAAAACUAGUAUAGAGGAAAAGGCUGUAUGAAUGUUUUCUCAGGGGGAAAGUAAACAAAUGGAAAAUUAAAAUAUAUAUAUUUUAAAUACUUAUCUUUUAAAAAGAAUUGUUGAAUCAUAUGAAAUUAUCCCCUUUUGGAUAGCUAUUAGCAUUGCUAUGCAUCCUAAUAUACAAGAGAAACACUGAGUAUUCCAGUGCUGAAUUCCUAUCUCGUAUGCUUUACUAUUCUCUCUCCAGCAUUAGUAUUUUGGAAUUUACCUCACUUACCCUUCCACACACUUAUGCAGUGCUGACUGAUGCUAAUAAAAGUCACAUCUACAUGUGCAGAUUAGAACUCGGUUAUCUAAAGAGUUCAAUUUGAGCAUGAAAUACAGGCAGAGCAAAUAUGGGAUACAUAAGGGAUUUUGAGACUUUGUUAAAAGUAAGGAAAUGGUAUUGGGAUUUUGUUAAAUGAUAGGCAAGGAAAUCUUCCAGCUAUCACAAAGUGAUGUCAGAAUGAUAUUGCUGUGAACUGGGAGCACAGUAGGAUUUUCUUGCAGGUUGUCAGAGGAGGCCGGGGGAAGGGCUGCUCCCUGUGGUAUACAUUCAUUUAUUGACUACAGUCACAGUUAUUUGCUUCAGCCAGCAUGAUCUGAAAUGCAUGUAUAAAAGCAUAUAGGUAUUGGAAUUUUCAACCCAAAUCAGAAUCCUAAUUAACUGUAAAUCGUAAAGCCUGUAGCCUGAGGUACAUUAAAAUGAGAACUUUGUACAUGAAAGGCUGCAUAUGCCCCAAAAUCUAAGUAUUUCCUACUUAUAAACCACCAAAUUCACUGCAUCAGCUUCCAUGACUGUAAUUCUACUCCUGAGGGAUAUACAAGUAGAGUUAACUGAAAACAAAUAUGAGUUUGCAACUCAUAGAACUAUCAUUUUAUGGGCACAUUAAAAACCACUGACAUAAGAAAAGACAACAUAAAAUAUUUGUACUUAAGGUAAGAAUGUGACAUUAAAGCCAGGAACGAACUCAGUCCAUUCUACUUUAUCAAGUGCCUCUUUAAUCUGUAAAUGUGUGUGAUUAGAAAGACAUUAAUUUCAGGGGGAAUACCACAUCAGUAAAACAUCACUGAAACACCUGGCACAAUCGAAUUUCAUGCCGCACAGAACUCAAAUGGGGAAAGUGGAAGUUACAAACCAGGCUGGAGCUGAACAGAGACAACACAGAGGACACUAUUCUCUCAGACACAUAAAAGGAUUUUGGUUAUACAGAUCCAGUUCUGCUGAGGGCAAUGGGAUUUGUACUGCCCUUUAAUGGGAGCUGGAUCAAGCUGCAAAGAGAGAUUUGAUCCUUUUGUGUGCAGGCAACAAACAACAAAACAGGAAUUGCGGAGCACUUGUGUGUAGGGAACCUCUGCUCCAUACCACCUUUACCAUUCUGUAGUGCUAAGUUAUCUCGUAAUCUUGACUCUGAUAACAGCUGUAUCCUUCUCCUUAUCAUCUGCUGAGUAACUCUAUGUCUUCUCAGGCCAGAAUUUGAGUAGGAGCUGAGUUUUUCUCAGCUACAGAACUGCAGUGAUCUGUAAACUGAUAUCUGGCUUCAUAAUGUGUUCAUGUGUCAUUCCAAAGGGGUAUAACUUUUUCAUCCAACUGAUCAGACUUAGUACCUCAUACCCAUGAAAUGCCAAUCCUCCUUUUUGGCUUGGAAUAAUGGUAAGGGACCUGCUGCUUCGAAUGCUUUCAUCAUAGAAGAGGCAGUUUAAUGAGAAGAAAGCCUAUUAUGGAAAUUGCUAAACAUACACAAUCAGAACAAAACAGAACUCCUACACAUUAAACAGUUGACAGGAAGAAUCUCAGCAGUGAUUUAAGCUAUAUCUCCAGUCGCUGUUAGUUCACUCCACUUAAGAAUGAGAAAGAAAAAGGACAGUAGAGUGGCAGUGGAAAGGAAAACUAAAGCAUUCCAAGGGAGAUAUGAAUAUUUUACAUACAUUGGGAGUAUCUUGAGGUCAAGUACAGUAUAGAUAUUGCCAGGGCAAUGCUAAUACUUAUAUACUCCCAUACUGGACACUUGCACUGAAGACUGUUGCAGAGCCCCCUGCUGAAGUGGUAAAACUUCACCCAGUUUACGGCUACUGCUCAGCUGCCACUACAGUUUGAAGUUACUUCCUAGCCUCAUGAAAAUCCCGCCAUCAUCAGUGGAAGGGGAAAAAAUACCACCUAUGUAUUCACUGUGUUUAUCUGAACCUGUCAGCUACAUCAGAAAUCAAGUUGCUAAAUGCCGCAUUCAAGAAUUUUCUGUAGAAUUGUGACAUUCCUUGGAAGGCUUUAGAUCCAUAAAGUAAUGAAUAAAUUAUAAGAAGACAUAAUUAUGGUAUUUUCAACUCUGACAGAUAUAAUUUUACUCCGUAAGCACCGAAAAGAAAGCUGCCAUUUCUCUCAGACCAACACUCUGAGAUUUCUUAAAAACAAAAAAGAAAAAAAGAAAAAAAAUAUUUCAGUGAAAAAUGACAUAUUUAGUAAAUAUUGUCCAGGGUAAUUGUUCAUGUGGGACCCAAUAGAAGCAUAUUUCAGAUACUGUAACUACUGUAUACUCAGAGUGUAUGAACACUGUGUAUUCAGAGUAGAUGCUAAUCUGCAAUGUUUGUUACAAAGCCCCUUGUGGACACUCAAAUGUAAUUUUAAUGUUCUCCUGAAGAAAAAAAAAAGAAAGAAAAAGAAGAAGCAACAGCACUCAAAUUGGAUUUCAGAGGUAAGGUUAGUUACUGAGGGUACAAUUUACAUCAGCUGGAUCCAUCUGUCUAAAACACAUGCCUCUAAUUUAGGCUCUCUUUGCAGCCCACCAAAGGAAGUAGGUACCUCCACAGACAGAGCAAUUUCACUCACUUUGACAACUGUUUUGGGAAAAGACAAACUGCCAGCAACCAGUAAGGAAAGAAAGAGGAUUAGAUUAGGAACCUAACUUUGAGACAGUGAAGACAGGGACCAUGUACUGGAUCUGGAAUUAUGCUGCCUCUUAGCACAUGAAAUCAGACCCUGAGGUCCUGCCCGUGCACGGAGCACAGUCCUAAAGGACUCAGUUGGAGUCAGCUUCCUCCUGCCAGAUGCUGUGGUAUUAGAGUCACACCACAGCCGUGAUAAGUACCAUGCUCUAUGUUUCAUAAAACACAAUGUUUUUGAACAUUUCUAGGGACUCCGAUUCCCCUAGACAUGUUGGAAAUCACCAGGAGAUGGGCCCACUUUGAAUCUUCCAGUCUGAGCCCUCAAGUCAACACUGUAUCUUCAUUCAGCAAAUCACUGUCGCAUAUAUGUAAAUCUUCAAGCUUAAAUCCCAUUAACAUCAAAGGGAUGUAAGCAUGCACUUAAAUGUUUUUCUGAACUGGUACCCUUGGCCUCAGUCCAGCAAAACAUGUAAGCGUAUGCUUAACUUUAAGAAUGUUUAACCCUGUUAGCUUCUAUAGGGCUGAUUUUCUACAGUUUCCUGAAGUAAAACACAGAUUUCAAUGCUUUGCCAAGUCACUAUCUAAAUGAAGAUGCAAUGUCCCUAUCUCAUCAGCAUGACAAGCCUCAGUUAAAUCAGUCAUACUAAAACACAAAGACCAGAGCUACAUAUUCUGUAAGGAGAAAAAAUCCAUUAGGAAUGGAUUUGGGCCUGGCCAAAUGGCAAGCUAAACACUAAAAAAAAGUAGAUUCCAAAAUAAUCUAAGCCUCAGCUCAUCCAGGACUCAAGCACUUGAUUUGCUUUAAAUACAGUGCUGUUUAUGCUUACAUUUAGGCAUGUGCUUAAGUGCUGUGAUGAACUGGUCCAUCUGUGUACACCUUCCCUUUAUGUUAGAUAAAGUAAAAUCCUUAGGCUUUUGUAAAUCACACUGCUAUGCCUAUGAUAUCAGAUGAGCUGCUGUACUCUGAUGCUUAUAUGUGCACAAUAAAUCCAGACAUAAAAAUCAAUAGAAACAUUUUAACCUAUGAAGUUGUAGAAGUGCCCCUUGGAAAAAGUCAAAUAUUAAAAAAAUGAAUCUCACGUAUCUGUGAUAUUGUUCUAACAAGCAAAGAAUUGUUCAUAUUUAUUCAGAUCCUUUUUGCAGGAAUUAAGAAAGCUGUGGUAAGAUAGGUUGUAUAGAAUCUUUUUAAUGUUGUACGGUCCUAGAUUUUCCAUGUUGAUGUAUUGUUAUGUAAAUGAAAAUUUAUACACUUGCCAUAAGAGCAACCUGCUAUUUGGUCAUAGAUUUUGAAUUUUAUAUUAGUUGUUGAUUUCACUGUAAAAAAUUGGUAAAUAUAAUACGUUCAGUAUAAAGAUUAGUGAUGUAUGUCUUUAUAAAGCCAUCACAAGGCUAUGUUUUGUUUAUGUGGGCUGGCAUGCUAUAUGCUAAAUAUAUCAUAGGUUUAUGUUACCGUAACGAUGCAUCACUCCUCAGCUAUUAAUCUACACUGCAGAGUACAUGUAUAUUUAAUAAUCUUAGGAAAGUCUGUAAGACUUAUUUACAUUUUCUAUAUAUACUGCAAUUUUAAAGACCUUUUAGUACUGACUACAAACACUAUAGUAUCAGAAUGUAUAAGUAAAAAAGGUUAAACAGUAGAAGAUUAGUUAAAUCUAUACUUCAAAUGCCAGUGAAGAUG
RNAcentral lists this long non-coding RNA (5345 nucleotides) under Gallus gallus (chicken). Lineage: Eukaryota; Metazoa; Chordata; Aves; Galliformes; Phasianidae. The record is from RNAcentral.